This 23-nucleotide non-coding RNA is filed under the name Cricetulus griseus (Chinese hamster). Lineage: Eukaryota; Metazoa; Chordata; Mammalia; Rodentia; Cricetidae. The record is from RNAcentral.
AGAGGAGACUGGACUAGGGACCG